This 429-nucleotide ribosomal RNA is filed under the name Verrucomicrobiota bacterium. RNAcentral describes it as "Verrucomicrobia bacterium partial 16S ribosomal RNA". It matches the Rfam family "Bacterial small subunit ribosomal RNA", at positions 355 to 776 of the family's 1533-position model. Lineage: Bacteria; Pseudomonadati; Verrucomicrobiota. The record is from RNAcentral.
UAGGGAAUCUUCGGCAAUGGGGGGAACCCUGACCGAGCAACGCCGCGUGAGUGAAGAAGGUUUUCGGAUCGUAAAGCUCUGUUGUUAAGGAAGAACGAGUGUGAGAAUGGAAAGUUCAUGCUGUGACGGUACUUAACCAGAAAGGGACGGCUAACUACGUGCCAGCAGCCGCGGUAAUACGUAGGUCCCGAGCGUUGUCCGGAUUUAUUGGGCGUAAAGCGAGCGCAGGCGGUUAGAAAAGUCUGAAGUGAAAGGCAGUGGCUCAACCAUUGUAGGCUUUGGAAACUGUUUAACUUGAGUGCAGAAGGGGAGAGUGGAAUUCCAUGUGUAGCGGUGAAAUGCUUAGAUAUCAUGACGAACUCCGAUUGCGCAGGCAGCUUACUGUAGCAUAACUGACGCUGAUGCUCGAAAGUGCGGGUAUCAAACAGG